AUACGGAGGGUGCAAGCGUUGUUCGGAAUCACUGGGCGUAAAGGGCGCGCAGGCGGUUUGGUAAGUCAGAUGUGAAAGCCCAUGGCUCAACCAUGGAAGUGCAUUUGAAACUGUCAGACUUGAGUACUAGAGGGGAAAGUGGAAUUCCCGGUGUAGAGGUGAAAUUCGUAGAUAUCGGGAGGAAUACCGGUGGCGAAGGCGACUUUCUGGCUAGAUACUGACGCUGAGGCGCGAAAGCGUGGGGAGCAAACAGGAUUAGAAACCCGAGUAGUCC
Molecule: ribosomal RNA, 274 nt
Filed under: uncultured bacterium
Lineage: Bacteria
Description: partial 16S ribosomal RNA
Rfam family: Bacterial small subunit ribosomal RNA
Source: RNAcentral